AAUGAACGCUGGCGGCGCGCCUAAUACAUGCAAGUCGAGCGAGAAGACGUAGCAAUACGUUUGUAAAGCGGCGAACGGGUGAGGAAUACAUGGGUAACCUACCCUCGAGUGGGGAAUAACUAGCCGAAGGUUAGCUAAUACCGCGUACGCUUCUUGGACUUCGGUUCAGGGAGGAAAGGCGAAUGCCGAGGGUAUCGCGGCUCUUGGAUGGGCUCAUGUCCUAUCAGCUUGUUGGNGAGGUAACGGCUCACCAAGGCGACGACGGCUAGCUGGUCUGAGAGGGACGACCAGCCACACCUGGGACUGAGGACACGGCCCAGACUCCGUACGGGAGGCAGCAGUGGGGAAUCUUGCGCAAUGGGCGAAAGCCUGACGCAGCAACGCCGCGUGGGGA
RNAcentral lists this ribosomal RNA (394 nucleotides) under uncultured bacterium. RNAcentral's name for it is "bacterial SSU rRNA". It matches the Rfam family "Bacterial small subunit ribosomal RNA", at positions 29 to 407 of the family's 1533-position model. The record is from RNAcentral.